GAGGGCAAGUCUGGUGCCAGCAGCCGCGGUAAUUCCAGCUCCAAUAGCGUAUAUUAAAAUUGUUGCAGUUAAAAAGCUCGUAGUUGAAUUUCUGCUGCUCCGCAUUUUCCCUUUGAGGGGUUUUUGCGCUGUGGCUUAUUUCGGACUGUGUUAUGCACUGUCCGGAUGUUUACUUUGAGAAAAUUAGAGUGCUCAAAGCAGGCUUUUGCCUUGAAUAGUUAGCAUGGAAUAAUAAAGUAGGACUUUGGUUCUAUUUUGUUGGUUUUAGGUACCAAAGUAAUGGUUAAUAGGAACAGUUGGGGGCAUUCGUAUUUAACUGUCAGAGGUGAAAUUCUUAGAUUUGUUAAAGACGAACUACUGCGAAAGCAUUUGCCAAGGAUGUUUUCAUUAAUCAAGAACGAAAGUUAGGGGAUCGAAGACGAUCAGAUACCGUCGUAGUCCUAACCAUAAACUAUGCCGACUAGAGAUUGGAGGUCGUCAGUUUUUACGACUCCUUCAGCACCUUGAGAG
Molecule: ribosomal RNA, 510 nt
Filed under: Theileria cervi
Lineage: Eukaryota; Apicomplexa; Aconoidasida; Piroplasmida; Theileriidae
Description: SSU rRNA
Rfam family: Eukaryotic small subunit ribosomal RNA
Source: RNAcentral